UCGUCACGGGAAGGCAGAGCA
RNAcentral lists this unclassified non-coding RNA (21 nucleotides) under Mus musculus (house mouse). RNAcentral's name for it is "oocyte_clustered_small_RNA11531". Lineage: Eukaryota; Metazoa; Chordata; Mammalia; Rodentia; Muridae. The record is from RNAcentral.